Parus major (Great Tit) is the source of this 3845-nucleotide long non-coding RNA. RefSeq lists it as uncharacterized. The record is from RefSeq and is a predicted model, not a curated record. The transcript has 3 exons. Lineage: Eukaryota; Metazoa; Chordata; Aves; Passeriformes; Paridae.
CAGCGACGGGCCCGCGGGCUGGGCAGGGCUGGGCUGCGCGGGGCCGACCGCCGGGCGCCGCGCUGCCCCGGACGGGCCUCCAGCCAUGGAAAUUCCCCCAGGAGACCGCAACCCGUCAGACAGAAGUAGGCAAGAAGGGGAAAAAAAGCCCCAGGAGACUGUGAAAGGGAGGCUUUCCAGCCCGGGCAGGGUUUGCAGCUGCAGCGCUGGCAGCGGUGCGGAGCGCGCUGAGUGGCGCAGCCGCUGGCUCCCAGGUUGGCCGCGGUGCUGCGGAUCGGCCGCCACCAGUUGCGCCUCGGAGCGCGGAGCGGCACGUGGAGCGCCGCAGCCCCCUGCCCUCCGGGCCUGCCAGCCUCCGCCGGGCCCUGCCGACCUUCCUGCCCCGGCCCCUGACUGCGAACGUGCAGGGCUGCUCUUUAACUGAUCCUGAUUUCCUUCUGUCAAGAGGAACAGAGGAAACUGAAGACAUUUUACUUCCCUCUUAACACCUUUAAAUAGUUCUGAAUAAUGGACAGUAAUGUUGUUGAAUCUCUUUGUGAUUGAUUGGUUGUACCUCAGUACAUGUGAGUUCAAGUUAUUCUUCUUCUAUGCCUGAGAACAUGGUUUUAAAUUUUGUAAUAUGUAAUUGUAACAUAUGUGUAUUAUUCUAAACUUCACCAGUAUUUUCAGUAUUAGGAUCAUGGCAGGGUCUCUGUCCUAAAUAUAUUAUAGUACAACAAUGCUGAAAUGGAAAGACAGUUAUAGUUAAAAGGGCUAAAUAAAAAACUUGGCGUUAAAACCAAAUUAUACAGUAAAAUAUCAUAAUUGCAAGUGAAGCUUAUAAAUUUUUUAAAAUUAUUUUUAAAAUAUAGAUUAAAAGCAGAAAUACCCACAAUAUUACCCAUAAAUAUCCAUAAAAGGACAGUAAAAGAGAAUUUGAAGAUCAUUAUUAAGCUUGGUUUGGAGUACUUUUGGUUCCUGGUGUUCACGACCUAGCUUUUGUAUUAGUUACCCUUCUGCAAAGCAUCCUGUAAAAAGCCAUGUAAAUUGUCAGAUACCAAGGCAAAGUUGGUUGCGGCUGUGUUGAAGAUGAGGAUUUGUACUUCAUAAAGCAUAAAGUGCUGUGGGAUUGAUGGUGCCUUAGAUACCAGCUGAUCCUAACAGGGCAACCAGCUCCAUUUAGGCCAAGGAAAUGCACCUUCGAAGAGCACUAACAGAAACAAAUAAACAGUUGAAUGUCUAAAAUGAAACUAGAGACAUGCAGAUUUAACUCCUGUAAUCAGAACUGAAAUUAAGAUAUGCAUUAUUUUUUAAAGGAGCAACUUGUUCCAGUAAUGCUGUACCUGGGAGCAAGAGGCUAUGAUAAAGAAUCUUUAUCCAGGUUUGAUGUUUUUCUGCCAUGGGAUGGACUCCACAGUGGGGAGAAAGGGAAUAUGAUGCUUAAUGCUUUCUGCUGGCUGGAGGUUAACGAGGCUCCUUAUAGUUUUGCACCUGAGAAGUAUCUGGAUCUGGCAUUAUUCUACAUUAGUAUUUCAUGCACAUUCCUUACAAUUGUGAGUAUUCAUGAAAUUUACAUUACCUUUUCUCAGCAGUAUCAAACUAAUCACCAACAUCAAAUGAUGUAUUAAAAAAUACCUUAUCUAGAAUUCUACAAAACCAAAAAUAUUUCCAUGUGAAAUGAAUAUCUAAUCAAUCUGUUCCCAAAAAUUUUAAAUCAGAAAAUACUAAACCAAGUAUAUUUUACAAAUAGAAUAAAUAAUGCAGUGGAACAGAAGACUAUAUGUUAUAUUGCUGUGUGAAGUCAUGGUUACACAUCCUGAGAUCUAUAAAAAUUUAGUUAAUUCUUUACAUCUUUAAUAUGAGUUCAUAAUAGAGAGUACAAAUGCUCCUUUUGAGCUUCAAGAGAGUACACUGUGAAUGAGUAUCAAAAAUAUUGUGCAUCCUCUUUUAUAUUUUCAUAAUAUAGAAUGCUCUUACUUACAUAUUGUGUAUUAUUCCUCAUACAUAUUCAGAACAUAUAUUGUAACAGUUCCUUUGGAAUCACUAACAUGUAAGCUGUGAAUGUGUAUUAACAGCCAAAUGCAUUUGCAUAUUAUGAGUCCAUACUACUGAAUGCACAACCAAAUUAUUGAUAAAAAGUCAUUGCUAUACAUAGAAACAGAAUUUAUUUUCUCAUGCUUCUCACUCACAACUUGCAGUGAUUUCUCACCCAUGUCUUAACAACUGAAAAAAAAAAAGAAAAAAAUGCCAGUGCAACAACAAUUGGGAAUUAUAGUUUUCUUGAAGCAAAAUAUUUUGUGAGGGUUUUUGCUCUGUAUUGUAAUAUUUCUUUUAAUUGCUUGAAUAUAUAUACUCCUGGUUUUUCAUUUUGGUAUCCAUAUAGAUGACUGGACCAAAAUUUUAUCAUCAAGUGCUCAUUCAGAUUGUACACGUAAAAUACACAGGAAAAACAAACAUAAAUAUAAACCUCAGUCAGUUCCACUGGUAUUUUUAACUGUCAUGAUUUUGUUCGUACAUUUCUGUAACAGAAUGGAGGGUGGGGAGUUUGCCAGCCAGAAACAUGCAAUUCUCUAUAUUGAACACAACAAAAUUUACAAAAUAAUAUUAUGCAAUAACAUAAUUACCAAACUUCAUUCGUAUCAAAAACAUAUUGUUUGUCUACAUUGGCAGAUGAUCAUUCUGGCUACCCAUGCAAGUAAAGAUGGAAAAAGACACCAUUUUACUUUUCUAAAACAGUGAAUGAAGGAAAAAAGUCUUCUGCCUCAGUUUCUUACUUAGAAAAUUGAAAGUUAUGCAAAUCUUAGGCUCAGGUCUGAUCUAAUUCUGUGACCAUGCUGCUAGGAUAGGGAUUUUCCCCAGGAAGAAAAAGAAAAGCUAAGGACCAAUUGCCUUUUGCCCAGUUCCCUUCCUCAUCCUAUGGAGUUGCUGAAAUACCUGGAAAAACACAAGAGGAAAUUACCUAGACCAUUUCAAGUUCUGCAUAGUUGUCAUACUGAUUAUCAGUUUUAGAAUAAUUUCAGGUGUAUUAUUUUAAUAAUAAAAAAGACUGAAAGUUGCUUUAUAGUUCUAAUAUCACAACAGAGAUAUUAACUCCAAGAGGUAUUCAGUUAUACUUUCUGGCAAUUAAUGGCAAUUCUAAACCACCUGCCAUGUAAGAACCAAAUAUUUACACAGGAUUAUCAUAAUACCUCAGCUAGAAUACCAAUAAAAUCAGAAAACUCAAACUAGAUUUAAAGUGAUUUCCAUAUAGCUGGUAUUUUUGGAUCCCAUCUAGGAGAUGCAGUCCUGCCUGGUGAAUGAUGGCACAAUGAUACUGUUCACUAGUAUGUGUCAUAUCUGCUACAUAUCUUUGAGAGAGAAAUAAUGUAUGUAUGUUUGUAAAAUCACUGGAAUUUCAGUGUUUUGCCUUUAAAAGAAGUUAUUACAUUUUAGUUUACUGCAGGAGCCUAUUACAGUCUAAAAUUCCUUCAUUUCCCUUUUACUUUUUCUGUGGUUUGUUUCAAACAAUUUAAAGUAUUAAUGAAAAUGCUGUAUAAGUCAAAAUAUUAAUGUAAUUUUAUUUCAUAUUGUUUUAUACUUAUAAGGUCUAUAAACAGGCUCCUGUAAACUUAUAAAAUCAGUUAUUUUGGGGUCAGAGCUGUGGGUUGGUUUUUUUUCUUUUAUUAUUGUAAAUAAAAUAAGAUGGUUUGCACUCAGUUUUAUACUUCUAACAUACUAGCUGCUCUCUUGGAGAAUGUUACAAGAUAUAUAUGCCAGCAGACUAAAUUACCUUGAUAACCAGUGAUGAAUAUAAGCAAAUGAAAUAUUUUUCUGUAGUUUUCCAAAAUUAUCUUUUUAUUUUCUCAAUAAAAUAUUCACAUUUUUUA